AUGUUGGGUUAAGUCCCGCAACGAGCGCAACCCUUGUUCCUAGUUGCCAGCAUUGAGUUGGGCACUCUAGGGAGACUGCCGGUGACAAACCGGAGGAAGGUGAGGAUGACGUCAAGUCAGCAUGCCCCUUACGCUCUGGGCUACACACGUGCUACACUGGCGCGGACAAAGGGUUGCGAGCGCGCAAGCGUGAGCCAAUCCCAAAAACCGCGUCUCAGUUCAGAUCGCAGGCUGCAACUCGCCUGCGUGAAGGCGGAAUCGCUAGUAAUCGCAGAUCAGCAUGCUGCGGUGAAUACGUUCCCGGGCCUUGUACACACCGCCCGUCACACCAUGGGAGCUGGCCAUGCCCGAAGUCGGAGCACCCGCCGAAGGCAGGGCUGGUGACUGGGGUGAAGUCGUAACAAGGUAGCCGUACCGGAAGGUGCGGCUGGAUCACCUCCUUU
RNAcentral lists this ribosomal RNA (443 nucleotides) under uncultured cyanobacterium. Its description in RNAcentral is "bacterial SSU rRNA". It matches the Rfam family "Bacterial small subunit ribosomal RNA", at positions 1072 to 1533 of the family's 1533-position model. The record is from RNAcentral. Lineage: Bacteria; Bacillati; Cyanobacteriota.